AAGUAACAAAGGGUGUUUAGUGGAUGCCUUGGCAAUCAGAGGCGAUGAAGGACGUGAAAGACUGCGAUAAGUCCGGGUGAGCCGUCAAUAUGCUUUGACCCCGGAAUUUCCGAAUGGGGAAACCCAAUCCGAAUGGAUUAUCUUUGACUGAAUACAUAGGUUAAAGAGGCAAACGCGGAGAAGUGAAACAUCUCAGUAUCCGCAGGAAAAGAAAGCAACAGCGAUUCCCUUAGUAGUGGCGAGCGAAACGGGACCAGCCCAGUGGUUUGGAUUUUAGCUAGCAAAAUGUGGUGGAAAACACAGCAAUAAUAGGUGAUAGCCCUGUAUGCGAAAGCUAGUUUCCGAAUCCAAGAGUAGAGCCGUACACGUGAAAUUCGGUUCGAAUAUGGGGGGACCUUCCCCCAAGGCUAAAUACUCCUGAUUGACCGAUAGUGAACAAGUACCGUGAGGGAAAGGUGAAAAGAACCCCGAAGGGGGAGUGAAAUAGACACUGAAACUGAAUACCUACAAGCUGUCAGAGCCGGUUUUCCGGUGAUGGCGUACCUUUUGUAUAAUGAGCCAACGAGUUAUUAUUGCAUGCAAGCCUAAGCCGCUAGGUGUAAGCGAAGGGAAACCGAGUCUGAAUAGGGCGAUUUGAGUAUGCAGUAAUAGACCCGAAGCGGGGUGAUCUAGGUAUGGGCAGGCUGAAGGCGGUGUAACAAUCGCUGGAGGGCCGAACGCACCAAUAUGGCAACAUUGGGCGAUGACCUGUGUCUAGGGGUGAAAAGCCAAUCGAACCCCGUUAUAGCUGGUUCUCCGCGAAAACUAUAGAGGUAGUGUCUCAAGUGUUCGUUGUUGGGGGUAAAGCACUGAAAUGGCUAGGGGGAGUAAAAUCUUACCAACCCAUAUCAAACUCUGAAUACCAACAAAUUAUAGCUUGGGAAACAGUCCAUCGGUGCUAAGGUCGGUGGACGAGAGGGCAACAGCCCAGACCGCCAACUAAGGUCCCAAAAUGAUGAUUAAGUGGGAAAGUGAGUCGAGAUUCCAAAACAACCAGGAUGUUGGCUUGGAAGCAGCCAUCGUUUAAAGAAAGCGUAAUAGCUCACUGGUCUAUUAGAGUUUCGGCAACGAAAAUGUAACGGGGCUAAAAUCAUCUACCGAAGUUGCGGGUGCGUCGUAAGACGUGCGGUAGCGGAGCAUUCUGUAAGCCUGUGAAGCCGAAGGUGUGAGCCACGGUGGAGGUAUCAGAAGCGCGAAUGUUGGCAUGAGUAGCAGCUAAUCAAGGUGAGAAACCUUGACGCCGUAAGAGCAAGGGUUCCUAUCCAAUGUUAAUCAGGGUAGGGUGAGUCGACCCCUAAGGCGAGGCCGAAAGGCGUAGUCGAUGGGAACACGGCUAAUAUUCCGUGACCUGCGUGAGAGUGACGAAUUGUGUAAAUUGUGUCGCCUUAUUGGAUUGGUGAUGCAGUGAAACAGUUCCGGGAAAUAGCCCACGCGUAUAGAUCGUACCCAGAACCAACACAGGUGCUCGAGUCGAGUAGACUAAGGCGGUUGAGAGAACUAUGUUGAAGGAACUAGGCAAAAUGCAUCCGUAACUUCGGGAUAAGGAUGACCUGUUUCAAGGCAACUUUAAUCAGGUGACACAAACCAGGUGGGGGCGACUGUUUACUUAAAACCCAGGUCUCUGCUAAAUCGUAUAAGAUGAUGUAUAGGGGCUGACGCCUGCCCAGUGCUGGAAGGUUAAGCAGAGGUGUGCAAGCAUUGAUGUGAAGCCCCAGUAAACGGCGGCCGUAACUAUAACGGUCCUAAGGUAGCGAAAUUCCUUGUCGGGUAAGUUCCGACCCGCAUGAAAGGUGUAACGAUUUGGGCACUGUCUCAACAAUGGACCCGGCGAAAUUGUAGUAUACGUGAAGAUGCGUAUUACCCGUGACUGGACGAGAAGACCCCGUAGAGCUUUACUGUAUCCUGAUACUGACUUCUGGAAAUGAUCGUAUAGAAUAGGUGGGAGGCUGUGAUAUGCAGAUCCAAGUUUGCAAGGAGCCACCUUUGAAAUACCACCCCUUUGUUUUCGGAAUUCUAACGCUACGCCAUGAAGCUGGCAAGCGGACAAUGUCAGGUGGGCAGUUUGACUGGGGCGGUCGCCUCCUAAAGAGUAACGGAGGCGUCCAAAGGUUCCCUCAGAAUGGUUGGAAAUCAUUCGUAGAGUAUAAAGGCAUAAGGGAGCUUGACUGCGAGACUUACAAGUCAAGCAGAUACGAAAGUAGGGCUUAGUGAUCUGGCGGUUGAUUAUGGAAUUGCCGUCACUUAUCGGAUAAAAGUUACCUCGGGGAUAACAGGCUGAUCUUAUCCAAGCGUACACAGCGACGAUAAGGUUUGGCACCUCGAUGUCGACUCGUCAUAUCCUGGGGCUGAAGUUGGUCCCAAGGGUUCGGCUGUUCGCCGAUUAAAAUGGCACGCGAGUUGGGUUCAGAACGUCGUGAGACAGUUCGGUCUCUAUCCAUCAUGGGCGUAAGAUAUUUGAGAGGAUCUGCUCCUAGUACGCAAGGACCAGAGUGGACGUUCCUACUGUGCAUCGGUUGUUUCGCCAGAAGCAUAGCCGAGUAGCGGAGAACGGGAAAGAUAAACGCUGAAAGCAUAUAAGCGUGAAACUUGCCUCAAGAUAAGAUAUCUCAUAGCAUAAGCUAGUAAGACCCCUUGAAGACGACAAGGUUGAUAGGUCAAGUGUGGAAGUGCAGUAAUGCAUGAAGCUGAUUGAUACUAAUAGGUCGAGGGCUUGAU
RNAcentral lists this ribosomal RNA (2754 nucleotides) under chicken gut metagenome. RNAcentral describes it as "Bacterial large subunit ribosomal RNA". It matches the Rfam family "Bacterial large subunit ribosomal RNA". The record is from RNAcentral.